UGUGAAAUAAUAAAACCUGGUGAAUCUCUACGGUUACAGCACCUCAGAAGGGACCUCAGAGCGCUGGGAAGCAUGCAUGUGGUUUACAGAUGAGCAAGCUCCAAGCUUUCCUGAGCAGUCAUCCUGUUUCCGAAUAACCUUAAAAACGACUUGCUCCUUGGGAUGUGCUUUUCCGUUUCCUAGCAGCAUACAGAAGCAGCAGCUUCUAACUCUAAUGGAAUUGCCUGGAUAGCAUGUGCGUUAAUGGGGAGGCUUCGGAAAGAGACAAAAGCAUUCUGAUGAAGAACAACACUGCAGAGAGAUCAAACCAGAAACGCUGAGGCCAAGAGUCAGUGAGCAGCCUGGGUUAUUAGUGCGCACCGCCAUGUGACACGGACUUCACCACGGUUAUCUGCGAGGCUGUGCUGAGGACUCACCCCCGACAGGAAGCCUCUCGCAAAUGCACGUUUAUAAAAGUCUGGGAACUGGAAAAGUGCUGUCUGGUGCAGCUACUUAGAUGGUGAUGACAUUUCUCACAGUUCCUGUACCCAAGCCUGGAUUAAUUUGGAAGUCUCUGCCGUCAAGCUUCCGUUCUUGCCAUUCCAACAGCAUCACUUUCAAAUCGUCGGACAGAAAGGUGCUCGCCGUUACCCAUUUUAUUCAGAUCAAGCACCGAAGCUGACCUCCCGGAUUAAAGAAUCGCAAUCCCAGGUAGUUCUUCUAACUUGGAAAAAAGUCUUCUCUCCAAAGGAGCCCGAGUGUACCCACGAACCAGUCUAUCUCUCCCAAAACACCUGCUCUACCAGUGACGGAUGAGAUCGCUGCAGGUGAAAUGCAAAUGAACACUUGACAAAAUUUCAGGUAGCUAUGUACAUUUUCUAAGAGCACAUUUGGAAAAAUAAAAGUGUAAUAGU
Chinchilla lanigera (long-tailed chinchilla) is the source of this 893-nucleotide long non-coding RNA. RefSeq lists it as uncharacterized. The record is from RefSeq and is a predicted model, not a curated record. Lineage: Eukaryota; Metazoa; Chordata; Mammalia; Rodentia; Chinchillidae. The transcript is spliced from 3 exons.